GGCGGCGUGGAUGGAAGCCUGAGUCAGCCCCAAAAAUGUCUUGGCGGGGGGGGGGGGGGGGGGGGGGCACACAGGGAGUAUGGCGAAGCCAGGUAGGAGACCUGCGCCAACUUCCUGUGCUUACUGGGGGGCUAGAGAGACCGGGCAGGCACCGUGUUAUGCUGUGGAGCGCACGGUGUCUCCAGUGCGGGUGUAUAGCCCGGUGCGGUACAUACCAGCUCCUCAUAUCGGCCGGGCUAGAGUGGGCAUCUGGUCUCCAGUGCGUCUCCUUGGGCCGGCUUACAUGGCACCAGCCUUGCGCACGGUGGCCCCGGUUCGCUUGCAUAGCCCAGUGCCGGCUAUUCCACCUCACCGCACUGGCAGGGCGACCGGGAGCAUUCAACCAGGUAAGGUUGGGCAGGCUCGGUGCUCAAGAGCUCCAGUGCGCCUGCACGGUCCGGUCUAUCCAGUACCACCUCCACGCACCAGCCCUCCGGUGGCAGCUCCCCACACCAGGCUUCCUGUGCAUGUCCUCGGCCCAGUACCACCAGUGCCAGCACCAUGCACCAGGCCUACAGUGCGCUUCGCCUCUCCAGCGCUACCGGAGCCUCCCGCCUGUCCAGCGCUGCCGGAGCCUCCCGCCUGUCCAGCGCUGCCGGAGCCUCCCGCCUGUCCAGCGCUGCCGGAGCCUCCCGCCUGUCCAGCGCUGCCGGAGCCUCCCGCCUGUCCAGCGCUGCCGGAGCCUCCCGCCUGUCCAGCGCCGCCAGUCUGCCAGGAUCCGUCAGAGCCGCCAGUCUGCCAGGAUCCGUCAGAGCCGCCAGUCUGCCAGGAUCCGUCAGAGCCGCCAGUCUGCCAGGAUCCGUCAGAGCCGCCAGUCUGCCAGGAUCCGUCAGAGCCGCCAGUCUGCCAGGACCCGCCAUUCAGCCAGGACCCGCCAUUCAGCCAGGACCCGCCAUUCAGCCAGGACCCGCCAUUCAGCCAGGACCCGCCAUUCAGCCAGGACCCGCCAUUCAGCCAGGAUCCGCCAGUCAGCCAGGAUCUGCCAGAACCACCAGUCAGCCAGGAUCUGCCAGAGACAUCAACCUGCCUGAGCUACCCCUCAGUCCCGAGCUACCCCUCAGUCCCGAGCUACCC
Molecule: long non-coding RNA, 1113 nt
Filed under: Oncorhynchus mykiss (rainbow trout)
Lineage: Eukaryota; Metazoa; Chordata; Actinopteri; Salmoniformes; Salmonidae
Description: lncRNA (ENSOMYG00000065343.1)
Source: RNAcentral